This is a long non-coding RNA of Melanotaenia boesemani (Boeseman's rainbowfish), 383 nucleotides long. RefSeq lists it as uncharacterized. The record is from RefSeq and is a predicted model, not a curated record. NCBI's taxonomy places the organism in Eukaryota, Metazoa, Chordata, Actinopteri, Atheriniformes, Melanotaeniidae. The transcript has 3 exons.
CCGAACGCACCACGUGACCCUGCAGCUCCGAGGGCCCACGUGACAGUGACGCAGGAGAAUAGGUGAUGUGGUCAGUUACGAGAUUUGGCAUACUCAGUGCUUCCCUGUGCAAUUUCCUGUCAACAUUUAAAAAGAGAGAAAGUAUAAAAGAAGAAGAAGAAAUAAAAAAGCCCCCAGCCACUGCCUUUCUCUUCUUGAACUUGAUUUUUGGUUCAGUGUCAAUCAGCAUAUUAUCCCCUGGCACGCUGUGUAUCGAAAUAUGUAUCAUUGCUGCCAUGGAUACUCAGUAACUCCAGUCAAACGGGAGGUGUCUGUGAGUUCUACAUAAUCCUUGGCCCACAAGAAUUUGGAGUCGGGGGUUAUGUCACAGCAUUCAAAGUUCA